CCUACGGGAGGCAGCAGUGGGGAAUUUUGCGCAAUGGGCGAAAGCCUGACGCAGCAACGCCGCGUGAGUGAUGAAGGCCUUCGGGUCGUAAGGCUCUGUCAGAGGGGAAGAACCACCCGAGGGUUAAUAUCCUUCAGGCCUGACGGUACCCUCAAAGGAAGCACCGGCUAACUCCGUGCCAGCAGCCGCGGUAAU
Molecule: ribosomal RNA, 195 nt
Filed under: uncultured Geobacter sp.
Lineage: Bacteria; Pseudomonadati; Thermodesulfobacteriota; Desulfuromonadia; Geobacterales; Geobacteraceae
Description: partial 16S ribosomal RNA
Rfam family: Bacterial small subunit ribosomal RNA
Source: RNAcentral